This 293-nucleotide long non-coding RNA is filed under the name Sorghum bicolor (sorghum). RNAcentral describes it as "long non-coding RNA (SBIC_LNC012967)". The record is from RNAcentral. Lineage: Eukaryota; Viridiplantae; Streptophyta; Magnoliopsida; Poales; Poaceae.
UGACUAGCGGUACGGUAUUGUUUUAUUACUACUUAAAAAUAUUAGGAGAACUCUACUAUUUUGGCAAUUAAUGCUUCACACUUGGAGGUUAGUGCCGGUGUCCACGUUAAUGAAAUUUCUAUUGUACAUUCGAUCUUUUUUUUAACAAACCAGCAUGAGACGGUGUCCAUUUCUAUUGACAGAGAAGAAAGGUACAAGCCCUAGGGGCAAAGCAAAAUAAAAAAAAUAAAGAUAAUUACAACAAAGAUGGCCAAAAGCAAUGGCAGAGCAAUGAAUUAUGCUUAGGAAGGGGG